This is a small nucleolar RNA of Vitis vinifera (wine grape), 107 nucleotides long. It matches the Rfam family "Plant small nucleolar RNA R71". Rfam says of the family: R71 is a member of the C/D box family of snoRNAs containing the C (UGAUGA) and D (CUGA) box motifs. Multiple nearly identical copies of this snoRNA have been identified in Arabidopsis, and it is thought to function as a 2'-O-ribose methylation guide for 18S ribosomal RNA. The record is from Rfam. Lineage: Eukaryota; Viridiplantae; Streptophyta; Magnoliopsida; Vitales; Vitaceae.
AAGUCAUGGUGAGGACAAGCAUUGAUAGCUUCCAUGUAUAUCUCCCAACACUCAUAGAAUUUCUCAUUCUCUUUAGAUGAGAAGUUUGAAAUUUUCCUUUUCAAGCU